UACGUAGGGGGCAAGCGUUGUCCGGAUUUAUUGGGCGUAAAGAGCGUGUAGGCGGCCAGGUAGGUCCGUUGUGAAAACUCGAGGCUCAACCUCGAGACGUCGGCGGAAACCCUCUGGCUAGAGUCCGGAAGAGGAGAGUGGAAUUCCUGGUGUAGCGGUGAAAUGCGCAGAUAUCAGGAAGAACACCCGUGGCGAAGGCGGCUCACUGGCCCGGUACUGACGCUGAGGUGCGAAAGCGUGGGGAGCAAACAGG
RNAcentral lists this ribosomal RNA (253 nucleotides) under uncultured bacterium. RNAcentral's name for it is "partial 16S ribosomal RNA". It matches the Rfam family "Bacterial small subunit ribosomal RNA", at positions 524 to 776 of the family's 1533-position model. The record is from RNAcentral.